UACGGAGGGUGCAAGCGUUAAUCGGAAUUACUGGGCGUAAAGCGCGCGUAGGCGGUUUUUUAAGUCGGAUGUGAAAGCCCCGGGCUCAACCUGGGAACUGCAUCCGAUACUGGAAGACUAGAAUGCGGGAGAGGGAGGUAGAAUUCCAUGUGUAGCAGUGAAAUGCGUAGAUAUGUGGAGGAAUACCAGUGGCGAAGGCGGCCUCCUGGCUCGACAUUGACGCUGAGGUGCGAAAGCGUGGGGAGCAAACGGG
Molecule: ribosomal RNA, 253 nt
Filed under: uncultured bacterium
Lineage: Bacteria
Description: partial 16S ribosomal RNA
Rfam family: Bacterial small subunit ribosomal RNA
Source: RNAcentral